AUGAAGGACGUGCUAAUCUGCGAUAAGCGUCGGUAAGGUGAUAUGAACCGUUAUAACCGGCGAUUUCCGAAUGGGGAAACCCAGUGUGUUUCGACACACUAUCAUUAACUGAAUCCAUAGGUUAAUGAGGCGAACCGGGGGAACUGAAACAUCUAAGUACCCCGAGGAAAAGAAAUCAACCGAGAUUCCCCCAGUAGCGGCGAGCGAACGGGGAGCAGCCCAGAGCCUGAAUCAGUGUGUGUGUUAGUGGAAGCGUCUGGAAAGGCGCGCGAUACAGGGUGACAGCCCCGUACACAAAAAUGCACAUGCUGUGAGCUCGAUGAGUAGGGCGGGACACGUGGUAUCCUGUCUGAAUAUGGGGGGACCAUCCUCCAAGGCUAAAUACUCCUGACUGACCGAUAGUGAACCAGUACCGUGAGGGAAAGGCGAAAAGAACCCCGGCGAGGGGAGUGAAAAAGAACCUGAAACCGUGUACGUACAAGCAGUGGGAGCACGCUUAGGCGUGUGACUGCGUACCUUUUGUAUAAUGGGUCAGCGACUUAUAUUCUGUAGCAAGGUUAACCGAAUAGGGGAGCCGAAGGGAAACCGAGUCUUAACUGGGCGUUAAGUUGCAGGGUAUAGACCCGAAACCCGGUGAUCUAGCCAUGGGCAGGUUGAAGGUUGGGUAACACUAACUGGAGGACCGAACCGACUAAUGUUGAAAAAUUAGCGGAUGACUUGUGGCUGGGGGUGAAAGGCCAAUCAAACCGGGAGAUAGCUGGUUCUCCCCGAAAGCUAUUUAGGUAGCGCCUCGUGAAUUCAUCUCCGGGGGUAGAGCACUGUUUCGGCAAGGGGGUCAUCCCGACUUACCAACCCGAUGCAAACUGCGAAUACCGGAGAAUGUUAUCACGGGAGACACACGGCGGGUGCUAACGUCCGUCGUGAAGAGGGAAACAACCCAGACCGCCAGCUAAGGUCCCAAAGUCAUGGUUAAGUGGGAAACGAUGUGGGAAGGCCCAGACAGCCAGGAUGUUGGCUUAGAAGCAGCCAUCAUUUAAAGAAAGCGUAAUAGCUCACUGGUCGAGUCGGCCUGCGCGGAAGAUGUAACGGGGCUAAACCAUGCACCGAAGCUGCGGCAGCGACGCUGAUGCGUUGUUGGGUAGGGGAGCGUUCUGUAAGCCUGCGAAGGUGUGCUGUGAGGCAUGCUGGAGGUAUCAGAAGUGCGAAUGCUGACAUAAGUAACGAUAAAGCGGGUGAAAAGCCCGCUCGCCGGAAGACCAAGGGUUCCUGUCCAACGUUAAUCGGGGCAGGGUGAGUCGACCCCUAAGGCGAGGCCGAAAGGCGUAGUCGAUGGGAAACAGGUUAAUAUUCCUGUACUUGGUGUUACUGCGAAGGGGGGACGGAGAAGGCUAUGUUGGCCGGGCGACGGUUGUCCCGGUUUAAGCGUGUAGGCUGGUUUUCCAGGCAAAUCCGGAAAAUCAAGGCUGAGGCGUGAUGACGAGGCACUACGGUGCUGAAGCAACAAAUGCCCUGCUUCCAGGAAAAGCCUCUAAGCAUCAGGUAACAUCAAAUCGUACCCCAAACCGACACAGGUGGUCAGGUAGAGAAUACCAAGGCGCUUGAGAGAACUCGGGUGAAGGAACUAGGCAAAAUGGUGCCGUAACUUCGGGAGAAGGCACGCUGAUAUGUAGGUGAAGUCCCUCGCGGAUGGAGCUGAAAUCAGUCGAAGAUACCAGCUGGCUGCAACUGUUUAUUAAAAACACAGCACUGUGCAAACACGAAAGUGGACGUAUACGGUGUGACGCCUGCCCGGUGCCGGAAGGUUAAUUGAUGGGGUUAGCGCAAGCGAAGCUCUUGAUCGAAGCCCCGGUAAACGGCGGCCGUAACUAUAACGGUCCUAAGGUAGCGAAAUUCCUUGUCGGGUAAGUUCCGACCUGCACGAAUGGCGUAAUGAUGGCCAGGCUGUCUCCACCCGAGACUCAGUGAAAUUGAACUCGCUGUGAAGAUGCAGUGUACCCGCGGCAAGACGGAAAGACCCCGUGAACCUUUACUAUAGCUUGACACUGAACAUUGAGCCUUGAUGUGUAGGAUAGGUGGGAGGCUUAGAAGUGUGGACGCCAGUCUGCAUGGAGCCGACCUUGAAAUACCACCCUUUAAUGUUUGAUGUUCUAACGUUGACCCGUGAUCCGGGUUGCGGACAGUGUCUGGUGGGUAGUUUGACUGGGGCGGUCUCCUCCUAAAGAGUAACGGAGGAGCACGAAGGUUGGCUAAUCCUGGUCGGACAUCAGGAGGUUAGUGCAAUGGCAUAAGCCAGCUUGACUGCGAGCGUGACGGCGCGAGCAGGUGCGAAAGCAGGUCAUAGUGAUCCGGUGGUUCUGAAUGGAAGGGCCAUCGCUCAACGGAUAAAAGGUACUCCGGGGAUAACAGGCUGAUACCGCCCAAGAGUUCAUAUCGACGGCGGUGUUUGGCACCUCGAUGUCGGCUCAUCACAUCCUGGGGCUGAAGUAGGUCCCAAGGGUAUGGCUGUUCGCCAUUUAAAGUGGUACGCGAGCUGGGUUUAGAACGUCGUGAGACAGUUCGGUCCCUAUCUGCCGUGGGCGCUGGAGAACUGAGGGGGGCUGCUCCUAGUACGAGAGGACCGGAGUGGACGCAUCACUGGUGUUCGGGUUGUCAUGCCAAUGGCACUGCCCGGUAGCUAAAUGCGGAAGAGAUAAGUGCUGAAAGCAUCUAAGCACGAAACUUGCCCCGAGAUGAGUUCUCCCUGACCCUUUAAGGGUCCUGAAGGAACGUUGAAGACGACGACGUUGAUAGGCCGGGUGUGUAAGCGCAGCGAUGCGUUGAGCUAACCGGUACUAAUGAACCGUGAGGCUUAACCUU
Molecule: ribosomal RNA, 2856 nt
Filed under: Escherichia coli 2-005-03_S4_C1
Lineage: Bacteria; Pseudomonadati; Pseudomonadota; Gammaproteobacteria; Enterobacterales; Enterobacteriaceae
Description: bacterial LSU rRNA
Rfam family: Bacterial large subunit ribosomal RNA
Source: RNAcentral